UGGAAAUGAUUGAAGUGUUAAAUAAUCAAAGUCGUUUUCAUAGUUUUAUUUGUGAUCAUUAUUGUUUGUCACUAUAAAAUAAAAACUUUUGACAUAAUUAUUUUUUCUUUAUAAUGGAGAAAAUUUUAAAAUUGCUAUGAAUAUUAUUCAUGAUAGUAAAUUGAUUUUGGUAGAAUUAAAUAUCAGUAUUAAAUCGUAUUAGACAUCAUUUAUCUCUAUAACUUUUUGAUUUACUCUAUUUUGUCCAUGACAAUUUUGAAUUUGGUUGGUAGCUUUGAUUAUUACAAAAAAAAAAAAAAUUAACCGCCACAAGUUUACUUCAGAACAAAUUUCUUUCUAUACUCACAACAAUCCGCAAGUACUUUCAUUUAAAAUGGCAGAUAAGGAACUUCAGGAAGAAUUAGAAAUGUUACGAAAGACGCGACGUGAUUUACAAGAAUAUUAUUAUCUUUUAAGGAUAUUAAGAAAUGAUAUAGAAAAAAUGAUAGGCAACUUUUCAUUUACAUCUGAUAUUUGUGAGACACAAAAAGACACUACAGCUCAAGAUAUUAAGAAAGAUAAAAAAAUUCCUUAAUAGCAUCAUAAAUUGUAUUAAAAGUAUUCAAAUAUGGUAAAUCAAUUAUAUAUUCUUAUUAAUUUUUCGGGAAGAUAUAGUUAUAUUGAUCUU
This is a long non-coding RNA of Vespa crabro (European hornet), 667 nucleotides long. RefSeq lists it as uncharacterized. The transcript is spliced from 3 exons. Lineage: Eukaryota; Metazoa; Arthropoda; Insecta; Hymenoptera; Vespidae. The record is from RefSeq and is a predicted model, not a curated record.